Molecule: non-coding RNA, 328 nt
Filed under: Capsicum annuum
Lineage: Eukaryota; Viridiplantae; Streptophyta; Magnoliopsida; Solanales; Solanaceae
Description: Bacterial small subunit ribosomal RNA
Rfam family: Bacterial small subunit ribosomal RNA
Source: Rfam by way of RNAcentral
GUCUGCUUAACACAUGCAAGUAUAGGACGGGUGUUUUUGGUGGCGGACGGGUAAGUAUCGCGUAAGAAUUUGUCUUUGAGAGAGCAACAACGGCACGAAAAUAAUUGCUAACAACCUAUACACUGAGGAGAAAAAAGACGAAUCACCCCAAGAGAGGCUCGCAUCUGAUUAGCUAGUUGGUGAGGUGAUAACUUACUGGGACAUGAUUAUAGCAAUUUCAAUCGGUCUGUAAGGAUGAUUGACCAUAUUGGGACUAAGACACGGCCCAGACACCUAUGGGAGGCAGCAAUGAGGAAUUUUCCACAACAAGACGCGGUGGUAGAAAGAC